UCACAGAAGAGUGACAGGCUAUGUGAAUCCAGCCGUGGAUGUGUGUUCAUGUGCAUAAGAAAAGACAGUAUGCCUUUCUCUCCCCCAGCAUGACAGCUUCAAAAUACACCCGUACACUUUUUCCGUGCAAUCUGUGAGAGCGGAAUGGAGUGCCUUGCUUGGGUACACACCAGCUAGCGCUGACUAAGUGGUCGACUGGACACCUGAAUGAGAGCAGGGCGACAACAAGAUGCCCCGUCUGACGAGCGGCGACGUCGGCGCCCCGUGGCAGAGGAGGGGAACGCGGGGGCGCAUCUCACCGACUCCCAGCGCGAGCCCCGCCGCCGGCUCUGCAGCCUGCGGCUGC
Molecule: long non-coding RNA, 346 nt
Filed under: Struthio camelus australis
Lineage: Eukaryota; Metazoa; Chordata; Aves; Struthioniformes; Struthionidae
Description: lncRNA (ENSSCUG00000018971.1)
Source: RNAcentral